This 900-nucleotide long non-coding RNA is filed under the name Equus asinus (donkey). RNAcentral describes it as "lncRNA (ENSEASG00005034507.1)". The record is from RNAcentral. Lineage: Eukaryota; Metazoa; Chordata; Mammalia; Perissodactyla; Equidae.
GUUUGACCAUGUGACUAUGUACUGGCCAAUGGGACGAAAGGAAAACUUCAUGUGACAGCCCCAGCCUCUUCCCACGGCCAGCUCUGCCGUCUUCUUUUUUGUCUUCCUCCCCUUGAUGCCUCAAGCUCGGGGCUCUCCCCAUCGGAGGGCGGGUGUGGGCGGAAGGAGCCUGGGCCCCGAGAGCGGCCCGGACGGCUCAACCCCCACUGUGUCCUUGCGGGGAGAAUUAGGCGCACUGCCUUGCUUCUGUUUGCGUUAUUUGGAUUUUCGGUCACUCUCAGCGGGACGUAAUCUAAGGCGAUAAUAGAGGUGCUUCAACGAGAAGAGUGUGUGAGAGUUGCCUGUAGCUGACAGCAACAGCGCAUUUCCCUAGACCAGGCACUGGGCUUUAUCCACGAUCUCGUUCAAGCUUUGAGGUCGUUCUUGAAGGUUUUUUUCGGACUGCCAUCUUUCUCUCUCUCCCUCUACUGGAGCUGCAGCUCCAUCCCCGAGGCUUUGCUGAGAGCCCGAAAAUAGAAACCUGUUCUCAUUGGUCCAGGCCCCCCCCUCCAUCCUUUUGUGAUGCCGAUGAUUGAGCUCAGAAGCCACGAGGACCCUCAGAAGGACACCUGUUCUGGAAAGGGUGGCAGGUGAGGAGGAAUGGAAGUCAAAGAAGAGAGUCUGGGGAGAGAGAGCCUGGAGGGAGGAGAGGAGAGGAAGGGGCCAAGGAAGCAGGAUGCGUGGUGGGGAGGGCUGGACCCAUGGAUAGCCACUGCCCCUCCCUUCACUGGCCAGCACACAAGUUGGUGCCACGGCCUCUUCUUUAGCCACCACCUUCCCUUUGGCUCGCUCCCCAUGCUUUCCAGCGGCUAUUAUGACAUGUGGUGGUAUUUCUCUUGCUGAAAGCAGCUUCGAGAGAAA